GAUGAAGAACGUAGCGAAAUGCGAUAAGUAAUGUGAAUUGCAGAAUUCAGUGAAUCAUCGAAUCUUUGAACGCACCUUGCGCUCCUUGGUAUUCCGAGGAUCAUGCCUGUUUGAGUGUCAUUAAUAUAUCAACCUUCUCUUUUUUGAGUUGUUUGGAUGUGGGGGUUUGCUGGCCUCUUAAAUGAUUCAGCUCCCCUGAAAUGCAUUAGCAGAACAACCUGUUCAUUAGCGUGAUAAUUAUCUAUGCUAUUGAAUGUGAGGGCAGUUCAGCUUUCUAACCGUCCUUGGACAAUUCAUCAUUAAUGUGACCUCAAAUCAGGUAGGACUACCCGCUGAACUUAAGCAUAUCAAUAAGCGGAGGA
Molecule: unclassified non-coding RNA, 362 nt
Filed under: soil metagenome
Description: partial contains 5.8S ribosomal RNA, internal transcribed spacer 2, and large subunit ribosomal RNA
Rfam family: 5.8S ribosomal RNA (bases 1-120)
Source: RNAcentral